ACAUACCUCCCUGUAGCCUGGUACUGGAAACUGCUGAGCCAUGCAGGGUAGCCUGGUGGUGGCUAGGACACUUCUGCAGAGGACCUGGAGUUGGGCUGCUCCCAGGGCUCCCAUCUCUUGCUGGGUCUGUUUUCAGGUGCACCCUCCUCCUCCAGGAGGUAGGGGCAAGACCAGCUUCAGCCCUUCUUGCUCUCCAUGGUCUGUGUAUGGACAGGGUGUGGGCCCGGGGAGACAGUUGUGUGGUGUGUGCAUUGUGUGUGUGUGGGGGGGGGUUGUCUGUGUGUCUGUGAAUAUUUGUGUGAUAUGUGUGUAGUAUGCUCAUGUGUCAUGACUCUGUGAGGGUGUGAUGGAAGAGUGUGUGUAAGAGAGAAGUUUGAGUGUGUGUGGUGUGUGCAUCUGGUGUCUAUGGGUGAUGUGUGUGUACAUAGUGUCUGUGUGUGUGAUGUCGGUGUGUUGUGUGGGUUUGUGUGUGUACAUAGUGUCUGUGUGUGUGAUGUCAGCGUGUUGUGUGAGGAUUUAUGUGUGUGUGUGGUGUCUGUGUUUGUGAUGGUGUGUUGUGCGUGGGUCUAUGUUUGUGUGUGAUGUUGGUGUGUGUGAUAUCAGUGUGUUGUGUGUGGGUUUAUGUGUGUGUGUGUGAUGUCUGUGUCUGAUGGUGUGUUUUGUGUGGGAUUGUGUGUGUGUGUGGUGUCUGUGUGUGUGAUGUCAGUGUGUUGUAUGUGGGUUUAUGUUCGUGUGUGAUGUCGGUGUGUGUGAUAUCAGUGUGUUGUGUGUGGGUUAUGUGUAUGUGUGAUGUUGGUGUGUUGUGUGUGCAUUUAUGUGAGUGUGGUGUCUGUGUGUGUGAUGUCAGUGUGUUGUGUGUGGGUGUAUAUUUGUGCAUCAUGUCAGUGUGUGUGAUGUCAGUGUGUUAUGUGUGGGUUUAUGUGUGUGUCUGAUUUUGGUGUGUUGUGUGUGGGUUUAUGUGUGUGUGGUGACUGUGUGUGUGAUGUCAGUGUGUUGUGUGGGUUUAUGUGUGUGGUGUCUGUGUGUAUGAUGUCAGUGUGUUGUGUGGGUUUAUGUGUAUGUGAUGUUGGUGUGUGUAAUGUCAGUGUGUUGUGUGUGGGUUUAUAUGUGUUUGUGUGAUAUUGGUGUGUUGUGUGUGGGUUUAUGAGUGUGCAUGGUGUCUGUGUGAUGUUGGUGUGUUGUGUGGGUUUGUGUGUGUGGAUGUGGUUUCUGCCUAUGGGAGGAGGUUUGCUCACAGAUGGAGGAGAAGGAGCUCUAUAGGCAAAGAUCCCAGGGCCGUGGAGGAGGGGACACAGUCCUGAGAACUCCUUCCUCUGAAUCAGAAGGACAAGAAAGGUGGGAUUUUAAAGGAACAGAGAACCCUGGUGGGAGAGGUGAAUCUGAGCUCCUCGGGCCAUCCGUUGUCCUGUGGAGCAGAGGCAGGCCCGUGAGGGUGAUUUUCAGAAUGCUGCCUGCUUCUGAGAGUGAGAUGAAGACCCUCUGGGGUCCCGUUGAUGUCACCAAUGUCGCCCGUCUUGAGGCAUCUCUGGUCCAGACCUGGCUGGGAGAGAGAGCUAUGGGUGGAGAUGCACUGGGUGGGUGCUGGUGGGAGGGGCGGGCUGGCUUUUCCUCAGCCCCCAGACUUAGUUAGAGAAGAUCACACGCAAGAGCUUGGAAGUCCUGGGAGGAAGUAUGAUCCCGAAUCCUGGCACACUUGAUCAUGCGUGACAGGGACUUAAGAAAGCCCCUAAUUAUAGCCGUGUGGGGUUUGUCUCCCUUCUGAAGCCUGGCGCCCGUGUGCUCAAGGCAAGGGCGUGACCAAGGUAAGAGACCCCUUCUCUCCCUUAGGCAGAAGUCCUAGCAGAGUAUGCCCACGCAGGUUAGUGCUGCUGCAAAGAUGAGCCGAAGACCAUGAGAGACCUCCAGGUGGUCCUUCUGGGGAGAAGAAAUGGGUUUUGGCCCCAAAUCCUUCUGCUGCAUUUUUCCCCUAUCCCUGGGAAGCCAUGAGACCUUAAACCUGUGUUCCCAAGGAGGCGAGCUGCUGUUGCCAGGUGAUGAUAUGAUGUGCUUGGAGAAAGUAAGUGGCUGCCAGACAUGGCUGAGAGCUGUUGUCACUGCCGUCAAGUGCAUGUCUCCAAGCCAUAUCACACGGCGUCCCUCGAUGUGAGGCCACAUGGCAAGUGGGCCGUGGAUCUCCCUCUGCCCUUUGCAAGCACGUAAGACAGCAGAUUUUGCAGAUACCUUGUGGCGCAGGGGAAUUUCCUUUGGCCAGGUCUGAAGAAAUAAAGCAGCAGGCACCGAGAACAAAGCCAAGGCUUUCAAAAGACAAGGAGCCAAAAAACUUACUCAAAAUAAAAGUAGUUUUAAAAUG
This 2350-nucleotide long non-coding RNA is filed under the name Pan troglodytes (chimpanzee). RNAcentral's name for it is "lincRNA". Lineage: Eukaryota; Metazoa; Chordata; Mammalia; Primates; Hominidae. The record is from RNAcentral.